GACCGCGUAGCUCAGUUGGCAGAGGCGCAGAGCAUUGGGCUGGUAUUCCAAAAGCCGUAGGUUCGAUUCCCACCGUGGCCG
Paramuricea clavata is the source of this 81-nucleotide non-coding RNA. Lineage: Eukaryota; Metazoa; Cnidaria; Anthozoa; Malacalcyonacea; Plexauridae. The record is from the annotation of a GenBank genome assembly.